CACGUAGGGUGCGAGCGUUGUCCGGAAUUAUUGGGCGUAAAGAGCUCGUAGGCGGUGUGUCGCGUCGGCCGUGAAAACCUGCAGCUUAACUGUGGGCUUGCGGUCGAUACGGGCAUCACUGGAGUUCGGCAGGGGAGACUGGAAUUCCUGGUGUAGCGGUGAAAUGCGCAGAUAUCAGGAGGAACACCGGUGGCGAAGGCGAGUCUCUGGGACGUAACUGACGCUGAGACGCGAAAGCGUGGGGAGCAAACAGG
RNAcentral lists this ribosomal RNA (254 nucleotides) under uncultured bacterium. RNAcentral describes it as "partial 16S ribosomal RNA". It matches the Rfam family "Bacterial small subunit ribosomal RNA", at positions 524 to 776 of the family's 1533-position model. The record is from RNAcentral.